CUACCCUUGACAUGUCUGGAAUUGCGCAGAGAUGUGCAAGUGCCCGAAAGGGAGCCAGAACACAGGUGCUGCAUGGCUGUCGUCAGCUCGUGUUGUGAGAUGUUGGGUUAAGUCCCGCAACGAGCGCAACCCUUGCCAUUAGUUGCUACGAAAGGGCACUCUAAUGGGACUGCCGGUGACAAACCGGAGGAAGGUGGGGAUGACGUCAAGUCCUCAUGGCCCUUAUGGGUAGGGCUACACACGUCAUACAAUGGCUGGUACAGAGGGUUGCCAACCCGCGAGGGGGAGCUAAUCCCAUAAAACCAGUCGUAGUCCGGAUCGUAGUCUGCAACUCGACUGCGUGAAGUCGGAAUCGCUAGUAAUCGCGGAUCAGCAUGUCGCGGUGAAUACGUUCCCGGGUCUUGUACACACCGCCCGUCACACCAUGGGAGCGGGUUCUGCCAGAAGUAGUUAGCCUAACCGCAAGGAGGGCGAUUACCACGGCAGGGUUCGUGACUGGGGUG
RNAcentral lists this ribosomal RNA (503 nucleotides) under uncultured bacterium. Its description in RNAcentral is "bacterial SSU rRNA". It matches the Rfam family "Bacterial small subunit ribosomal RNA", at positions 975 to 1482 of the family's 1533-position model. The record is from RNAcentral.